CCUACGGGAGGCAGCAGUGGGGGAUAUUGCACAAUGGGGGAAACCCUGAUGCAGCGACGCCGCGUGUGGGAAGACGGUCUUCUGGAUUGUAAACCACUGUCUCCAGGGACGAAAAUGACGGUACCUGGGGAGGCAGCUCCGGCUAACUACGUGCCAGCAGCCGCGGUAAUACGUAGGGCGCAAGCGUUGUCCGGAGUUACUGGGUGUAAAGGGAGCGUAGGCGGGGAUGCAAGUUGGGUGUCAAAACUACCGGCUCAACCGAUAGUCGCACUCAAAACUGCAUCUCUUGAGUGAAGUAGAGGCAGGCGGAAUGCCUAGUGUAGCGGUGAAAUGCGUAGAUAUUAGGAGGAACACCAGUGGCGAAGGCGGCCUGCUGGGCUUUUACUGACGCUGAGGCUCGAAAGUGUGGGGAGCAAACAGGAUUAGAUACCCGUGUAGUC
RNAcentral lists this ribosomal RNA (440 nucleotides) under uncultured bacterium. RNAcentral's name for it is "partial 16S ribosomal RNA". It matches the Rfam family "Bacterial small subunit ribosomal RNA", at positions 338 to 795 of the family's 1533-position model. The record is from RNAcentral.